GGAAGUCUGUACAGUUCAGACUUCUUUUCACAAAGUGGCACCUGCCUGGAAUAUGCAGCAUUCUCGGGACUUCACGUUGGUUGGAGACACUGACUUUUUACAUUUACCCUGGAUCCCACUUCACAUUCAUGCAGGAGGAAGCAAAGUGGAUGGAAGAAGUCACAGAAAGACCCUUUCCUUUGCCUCACAAAGCACCUCAAGUCUGUUAUGAUAUACGGGUGCGCAGGAAUGAGGGGAGGGUUUCUUUGUUAGCUCUUAUACUGAAAGCGUAAGAAUGAAAUAAUGGUAUAGCAAGGAAUAAAAUUAUGAUCCACAUGUAGAUUUUUUUGUCGUCAACUUGAAAGAGAGACAAAAUAAAACAUUUGAU
Molecule: non-coding RNA, 367 nt
Organism: Momordica charantia (bitter melon)
Lineage: Eukaryota; Viridiplantae; Streptophyta; Magnoliopsida; Cucurbitales; Cucurbitaceae
Source: RefSeq, a predicted model, not a curated record